Molecule: ribosomal RNA, 216 nt
Filed under: uncultured bacterium
Lineage: Bacteria
Description: partial 16S ribosomal RNA
Rfam family: Bacterial small subunit ribosomal RNA
Source: RNAcentral
ACGCUCGACACCUACGAGGCAGCAGUGAGGAAUAUUGGUCAAUGGGCGCAGGCCUGAACCAGCCAAGUAGCGUGAAGGAUGACUGCCCUAUGGGUUGUAAACUUCUUUUAUAUGGGAAUAAAGUUUUCCACGUGUGGAAUUUUGUAUGUACCAUAUGAAUAAGGAUCGGCUAACUCCGUGCCAGUAGCCGCGGUAAUCUGAGCGGGCUGGCAAGGC